GUGGGGAAUAUUGGACAAUGGGGGGAACCCUGAUCCAGCCAUGCCGCGUGUGUGAAGAAGGCCUUAUGGUUGUAAAGCACUUUAAGCGAGGAGGAGGCUACUUUGGUUAAUACCCAGAGAUAGUGGACGUUACUCGCAGAAUAAGCACCGGCUAACUCUGUGCCAGCAGCCGCGGUAAUACAGAGGGUGCGAGCGUUAAUCGGAUUUACUGGGCGUAAAGCGUACGUAGGCGGCUUUUUAAGUCGGAUGUGAAAUCCCUGAGCUUAACUUAGGAAUUGCAUUCGAUACUGGGAAGCUAGAGUAUGGGAGAGGAUGGUAGAAUUCCAGGUGUAGCGGUGAAAUGCGUAGAGAUCUGGAGGAAUACCGAUGGCGAAGGCAGCCAUCUGGCCUAAUACUGACGCUGAGGUACGAAAGCAUGGGGAGCAAACAGGAUUAGAAACCCUUGUAGUCC
This 451-nucleotide ribosomal RNA is filed under the name uncultured bacterium. Its description in RNAcentral is "partial 16S ribosomal RNA". It matches the Rfam family "Bacterial small subunit ribosomal RNA", at positions 354 to 796 of the family's 1533-position model. The record is from RNAcentral.